This 465-nucleotide ribosomal RNA is filed under the name Naria citrina. RNAcentral's name for it is "Erosaria citrina partial 16S large subunit ribosomal RNA". Lineage: Eukaryota; Metazoa; Mollusca; Gastropoda; Littorinimorpha; Cypraeidae. The record is from RNAcentral.
GACCAACCCUUAAAGACUGCUGCAUCUUCAGGAUAUUCUAGUCCAACAUCGAGGUCACAAACUUUCUUUUCGAUAGGGACUCUCAAAGAAAAUUAUGCUGUUAUCCCUAUGGUAACUAAUUCCAUUAAUCAGAAUUUCUGGAUCAAAGCCUGUUGGCAUAAAAGCAGUAAAGAAGCUUUGUUUGUUCCUUAGUCGCCCCAACCAAAAUCUAAAAUAGAUUAAUAUUUAGGUUUAUACACUAUUUUCUAUUUAUUCCUUUAAAGCUCAAUAGGGUCUUCUUGUCUAUCAAUAAAAUUUAGGUUUCUUCACCUAAAAAUCAAAUUCUAGAAAUUUACAUAGAGACAGUUUUGCUCACGUCAAACCAUUCAUACUAGCCCUCAAUUAUAGGGCAAAUGAUUAUGCUACCUUUGCACGGUCAGAGUACCGCGGCCGUUGAAAACUUAAUUCACUGGGCAGGUCCGACUC